This 253-nucleotide ribosomal RNA is filed under the name uncultured bacterium. RNAcentral's name for it is "partial 16S ribosomal RNA". It matches the Rfam family "Bacterial small subunit ribosomal RNA", at positions 524 to 776 of the family's 1533-position model. The record is from RNAcentral.
UACAGAGGGUGCAAGCGUUAAUCGGAAUUACUGGGCGUAAAGCGUGCGCAGACGGUUGCGUAAGUCAGAUGUGAAAGCCCCGGGCUCAACCUGGGAAUUGCAGUCGAUACUGCUCGGCUAGAGUAUGGGAGAGGGUAGUGGAAUUCCCGGUGUAGCGGUGAAAUGCGUAGAUAUCGGGAGGAACAUCAGUGGCGAAGGCGGCUACCUGGCCCAAUACUGACACUCAGGUGCGACAGCGUGGGGAGCAAACAGG